Molecule: ribosomal RNA, 497 nt
Filed under: uncultured bacterium
Lineage: Bacteria
Description: partial 16S ribosomal RNA
Rfam family: Bacterial small subunit ribosomal RNA
Source: RNAcentral
GAUGAACGCUGGCGGCGUGCCUAAUACAUGCAAGUCGAGCGAACGGACGAGAAGCUUGCUUCUCUGAUGUUAGCGGCGGACGGGUGAGUAACACGUGGAUAACCUACCUAUAAGACUGGGAUAACUUCGGGAAACCGUAGCUAAUACCGGAUAAUAUUUUGAACCGCAUGGUUCAAAAGUGAAAGACGGUCUUGCUGUCACUUAUAGAUGGAUCCGCGCUGCAUUAGCUAGUUGGUAAGGUAACGGCUUACCAAGGCAACGAUGCAUAGCCGACCUGAGAGGGUGAUCGGCCACACUGGAACUGAGACACGGUCCAGACUCCUACGGGAGGCAGCAGUAGGGAAUCUUCCGCAAUGGGCGAAAGCCUGACGGAGCAACGCCGCGUGAGCGAUGAAGGUCUUCGGAUCGUAAAACUCUGUUAUUAGGGAAGAACAUAUGUGUAAGUAACUGUGCACAUCUUGACGGUACCUAAUCAGAAAGCCACGGCUAACUACGUG